UGGAUGAUUCAUGGACCUCCACAAGUCAAUACAAUGAAAUUGGAUGGGUUUGGAAGGAUAGCAUAGGAAAGAUCCGAUUAAUGGGGACACAAAACCUAAGGAGGCAUGAGACAGCACUUCACUCAGAACUGGAAGCGCUAAGAUGGACAAUGGAGAGCAUGCUACAACAUUCGACAUGUCAGGAAUUUGAGACAAAUUGCAAGGACCUGAUUGCAAUGAUAACGGACCCACAAGCUUGGCCAAACUUCUCAACUGAGCAGGAGGUCAUUCAAAUUCUCCAGAUGUGUUUUUCCGACUUCAAGAUCAGCUACUUCCCAAGGGCGCAAAGUGAAAUUGAUGAUUCACUAGCUAGGAAUGCCCGUUCUUUGAUACCAAAUGACCAAAACCUCCUAAGGAGUCGGCACUCUAAGUUGGUAAAGGGGAGAAGCAUUGCUGCUAUGAAACCGUAGAGUUUCAAAGGCAAGGGAUAUGGAGUGAAUGGUCGCACGAAGGAUGCAGAAGGCCUUCAAUAUUCCAACUCAAUGCCCUAAGAUAUGACACACCAAGAAGGAUCAAAAAGAUCAAUGGAUAUUUCACACCAUUGAAAGAAAAGUGAGAAUCACUCUCAAGGUUCCAAAAAUAAUCACUCAAAAGCUUAUUUUAUUCCAUUAGAGAUUACAACUUAUUUAUAGGAAACUAAAAUUGUUGAGAAAGCUAUAUAAUUAAUACAUAGGAAAUCACAAAACAGUGCAUGGAGGAGAGAGAUGGUUCUUGGAAGAAGCAAUCCUUGCAUACAUGAGAGAGAAGCUUUUCAUGCAAUUUAGUUUUUGAUUUUCGUCACUUUUUUUGGACAGCAAAGAAACCACUUGAUUUUGAUUUUUUUUUUGCCUUGUAACUCCAUAAAAUAGGCUGGACAUGUUACCUAACAUCAUGGAUUUAUUUCUAAAUAUUUUCCUUGUCCAUAACUUCAUAAAUCAGCCUAAGAUCACAUCAUACUCCUCCUCUUAAAAAACAUUUGUCCUCAAAUCUUGCUCUAUAGAGAAAGAAAACUUGAAUACACACUUCCAAAAGAUCCAACAGAUUUGUUGAACAUAAAUGUAUAAAACUUUUUUUUCUUUGUAGAAGAUGGAUAGAUAAGAAUGAUGGAUAUAGAAGUGAAUACCAAACUUAAAGUGUUGCUUUGAUACCAAAUGACCAAAACCUCAUGAGGAGUCGUCACUCUAAGUUGGUAAAGGGGAGAAGCCUUGUUGCUAUGAAACCGUAAAGUUUUAAAGGCAAGGGAUGCGGAGUGAAUGGUCGCACGAAGGAUGCAUAAGGCCUUCAAUAUUCCAACUCAAUGCCAUAAGAUAUGACACACCAAGACGGAUCAAAAAGAUCAAAGGAUAUUUCAUACCAUUGAAAGAAAAGUGAGAAUCACUCUCAAAGUUCCAAAAAUAAUCACUCAAAAGCUUAUUUUAUUCCAUUAGAGAUUACAACUUAUUU
This 1461-nucleotide long non-coding RNA is filed under the name Brassica napus (rape). Its description in RNAcentral is "long non-coding RNA (BNAP_LNC004399)". Lineage: Eukaryota; Viridiplantae; Streptophyta; Magnoliopsida; Brassicales; Brassicaceae. The record is from RNAcentral.